RNAcentral lists this transfer RNA (155 nucleotides) under Myxococcales bacterium. RNAcentral's name for it is "tRNA-Ser". The record is from RNAcentral. Lineage: Bacteria; Pseudomonadati; Myxococcota; Myxococcia; Myxococcales.
GGAAGGUGAAGUGGCAGCGGUGCCACACCGGUCUUGAAAACCGGCGACGUUCACGCGUUGGGGUUAACUAGGGUCCUACGGACCCGUUGCGAACCCCGGAAAGCUCCAGCAAGCUGGACCUUUCCACGAACCGUCGACUCCUCCACCUUCCUCCA